RNAcentral lists this non-coding RNA (123 nucleotides) under uncultured Mallomonas. Lineage: Eukaryota; Synurophyceae; Synurales; Mallomonadaceae. The record is from RNAcentral.
UGGAAGAGAGAGAGAGGAAGGUGAAAGAGAGAGAGAGAAAGAGAGAGAAGCCCAGUGAGAAAACAUACUAGCAAGUGAAGACGGUUCAUUUUUCUCUCUCUCUUUCUCUCUUUCUCUCUCCUU